GAUUGGAGCAUUUCAUACUUUAGAGUUAGAGCUGCAUCGACCUUUUGUCUUGAGGAAGGUAUGCUUCUUCUUAUCUUCCUUUUUAUCCCUAACAACAUUGAUCCUUUUCCUUAAUUUCUUGAAUUACUCUUUUAAGGCUAAAUGAACUAAAAAACACAAGGAAACUAUCAGUUUUAGCCAAUCGAUUUAAAUUUUACAGAUAUAUUAAGAUCAUGUGGAAGUUAUUCUUGCUCUGAAAACUAGUGGUAACUCCAUAAUCACUAAAAUAAUUUCGUUCAGUGUAUACUAAAAUUGGCAUGUCAAGUUAUCAUAAUUUUUCAUAGCAAAAAUAACAUUUACAAUUGUCAUGAUCUUAGUAUAUUUGUAAAAUUAAAAUGAUUGGCUAAAAUUGACAUUUAUCGAAAAAGUUGUGGCUUUGAUAUGUGACCUUCUAUUUUGGCGAGUUUAAAGCUUUUGUCAUCUGCUUGCUUACUUACUUUUGGAUAAUGCAUCUCAGGAAAUUUGGGACUCAUUGGCAUUAGAUGUACUCAAUCGAGCCUCUGGUAUUUUGUUUUGAUUUGUGCCUUUCUUAGUAGUUCUUUUCCGAGGGCAAGCUGUUAUCAUCACUUGAAUGCAUAUCUGUAUGAAAAUAAUUUCUUUAGAAGUUUCACGUUGUUGAUUAUUUAGGAUCUUAUGCCUUAACUAUAAGGUUUACUUAAGUUAUAUUAAGCUUCUUGUAGUUAGGAUUGACACUGGCUAUUAACAAUUUACUGUUGGUGCAGCAGGUUAUUGCAAUUGUAUGCUUUUUUAAGUUGGAAUAGUGAGAAUCA
This 809-nucleotide unclassified non-coding RNA is filed under the name Hevea brasiliensis (rubber tree). Lineage: Eukaryota; Viridiplantae; Streptophyta; Magnoliopsida; Malpighiales; Euphorbiaceae. The record is from RNAcentral.